Molecule: ribosomal RNA, 2979 nt
Filed under: Ulva sp. TM637
Lineage: Eukaryota; Viridiplantae; Chlorophyta; Ulvophyceae; Ulvales; Ulvaceae
Description: 23S ribosomal RNA
Rfam family: Bacterial large subunit ribosomal RNA
Source: RNAcentral
CUUUUGUUGCGAAAAGGGCUUGGAGAAUUGAGCAAGUCCCUAUACUAGGCUGUUUUAUUAAACCUCCCUUUUAUACACUUGCCUAUAUCAUUAUAAUAUACUAAUUUCUAUUCUAAGUAGAUUUCUAUUUUGAGAGUUAUUAAAGUUUUAUAUAUAAAUAUAGAAUUCGCCUGAUAAGCCCGUUCUCUAAGGUGGAAACACUGUAUUAAAACAGCAUACACCAAAACUCAAUGAACUAAAAGAUUUUAUUAAUUGAAGGAAAAGAAACCAACCGGGAUUGCGCUAGUAGUACAGAGCGAAAGCGCAUAAGCUUAAUUAAAUAUUUUUUUGUUUACAGUCGAACUUAAGUGAAAUCCGGACCAGAGAAAGUGAUAGUCUUGUAGAUUGUAAACAAAAAAAAAAAGUGUUAUAAAUUAUUUAUUAUUUAUAAGCAUGUAACUAUUUGUUAUAAUAAUGUGAUGCACCUAUAUUGAAUAUAUAGGGUGUACCUAAUGAAUAGUAUUACUUUAAGGAUUAAAUUAGUGGUUUAACGCUGCUAGUUAUUGACGGAAACCACUCCGUUGGCUAAAUAUUCUAUGUAGAUCGAUAGUGAAUCAGUACUGUAAAGGAAUUUGGAAACAAGAAUGCCAUUGCUUCUCUGAAUACAAGUCCCGAAACAGGUUGCUUAUAAUGACUUUCAGUUUGGCUGUUAUAAUGUUGAAUAGAAAGGUUCCUUUUGAAUCAUGAGCUGAUGACUUUGUGUUAGUUUAAGGCAUAUAUUAAUUGUUCUCUUUGGUGCCCUCGGGCUUAAAAGCAGCCCUUUUGGAAAGGAAAAGCAGAUACAAUUAAUGUGAGUAGCUUAAUUUAUUAAAAGUAAGCUUAUUAUGAAAGUAUUCAUAGAAAACUAACACAAAACGCGAAACGAAGUGAGCUUAAGUAGGCCAGGGGGAAGGUUACCGGAAGGUAGUUGGACGCCCGAAGUGGUAUGCGUUGCAACGCAUUCAUAUGAGUUUAUUUAAGUGGCGAAAUACCAAUCGAACUUCGAAAUAUCUCGUUUUUUGCGAAACCUUUUUAGGAAGGGGGCCUGUCAAAUAUAUGCUAACUAGGUAGAGCGCUGUAAAACUGAUGGGAAGGAAACUUUUACUGAGGUGUUGCAAACCACAAAUUAGGGGCAUUUUAUCAGGUACUCAGUCAGUGCGGGACAAGCUGCAUUUGACAAGAAGGAAACAGCCUAGACUAUGAAUUAAGGCCCGAAAAUAGCGCUAAGUGAGAAAGUAAUUUACUUCACAAAAAUUAGUAGGACGUUUGAUUAGUAGCAUCUACCGUUUCAAGAAAGCGUAAUAGCUCACUACUAUAGUUUAGUUGUUGCGAAAAUUUAGCCGGACUAAGCGCUAUGCCGAAAUUAUAGCUAACUGGAUUGUAUGAUGAUACCAGUUAGAGUAGCAAAACGAACCAUGUUGACAAAGUUAUGUCGGUAAGACUUAAUGAAAAUAUUGGUUGUGAAUAUAUCAGCUAGAGUAACAUAUAAAUUGAGACUUUUAAUAAAUAGAGUUUUCUAUUAAUCUGGGUUUGCUUUGCGCCCUUGUAUUUAUAUAAAACUCUAUUUAUUAAAAGAGUAGUAUCUCAAUGAUCGGAAAUCCUGGGUUUUCUACACAACUAUUAAAGAUGUAGUUAAAAAUACGGUCCCUAAGUAAUAUGGAGGUUACGAUGGGUACCUGCUAUGCCCAAUAAAAUCUUAUUUAUAGAUCUGUUGCAGGAAAAAAUAGCAGGCGAUUUGUACAAAAACAGAUUUUUUUUUUGUGUGUACAAAUAUAGUAAUACCGUACUAAAACUGACUCUGGUGGAUUAGUAGAUUUUACUAAGAUUUGGUUAUAAUCGUUCGUAAGGAACUCGGCAAAUUGCGCUGGUACUUUCGAAAACAGCGGUCUAAAGGUAACCUUUUAGAUCUCAGAUAAGAGAACUGGGUGACAGUUUACUAAAAACUUAGCGUCCUGCCAAUUUGAAACAAGACGUAUAGGAUGUGACGUUUGCUAACGGCCACUAAUUUAAGUAAUCUGUUGUAAAAGAUAGAUAAACAAGAUGUGGUGACGAGCGUCCUGCAUGAAUAACGUAACAACCUGGUUGCUGUCUCGCGAGCGAAAACCGUGAAAUAAGAAUAUCGGUUAAAAUACCGAUUAGGCUAUCUUAGACGAUAAGACCCUGUGAAGCUUUACUGUAACCUAACAUUGCGAUCGGUUUUUUAUCUUACAGUUAGGCGGGAGGCAAUGCCGACAAUGGAAAACCGCUAGAUAAUAAAUUGAUCGCUUUUAUAUAAGAAUACUUUUUUAAUCUAUAAGAUAUUAAUAUAAGGAGCUUCAUAUAAGAAAUUUUAUGCAAAUAGAGUAUACUUUAUGUAAGUAAACCCUCAUAUAAAACACUUUAAUUAACAAAGCUCGAAGACAGUUGUCGGAAACAAUAUGUAGAGCGUAAUAGUAUAAGCAUGCCUGAUUAUAAGACUGACAAGUCAAAUAAGGACGAAAGUCUGCUAUAGUGACCCUCACAUGCUAGGUGGAAAGGUGUGAGAUCAACGAAUCAAAGUUACUCCAGGGAUAACAGGGUAGUCCUGGCUUAUAGUUCUUAUAGACGCCAGGGUUCGCCACCUCGAUGUUGCCUCAGGUCAUCCUAGAGCUGCACAAGGUUCUAAGGGCGCAACUGUUCUUUGCAUAAUGACCUACGUGAGGUGAGUUUAAACCGCCGUAAGGCAGGUUUGGUUCUAUCUAGACAGCCAUAAUAUUUAACCAAGCACUAGAAUUCCACUGUACGAAAGGACCCGGAAUUCCGCGCCAAUGGUUUAGCAAUUGUUUUGAAAAAAGCAUUGUUGCAACGCUAAGCGCGAAAUGUUAAUUGCUGAAAAACUAUCAAGCAAGAAACAAUCGUAAAGGUUAUAGUAGAUCGCAUUUGCGUAAAUAGGCGCGGGGUGUACGCUUUGUAAGAAGCUGAGCUACCGCGUACUAAUUUUUU